This 465-nucleotide ribosomal RNA is filed under the name uncultured bacterium. RNAcentral's name for it is "partial 16S ribosomal RNA". It matches the Rfam family "Bacterial small subunit ribosomal RNA", at positions 28 to 507 of the family's 1533-position model. The record is from RNAcentral.
GAUGAACGCUGGCGGCGUGCUUAACACAUGCAAGUCGAACGGAAAGGCUCCUGCUUGCAGGGGUACUCGAGUGGCGAACGGGUGAGUAACACGUGGGUGAUCUGCCCUGCACUUCGGGAUAAGCCUGGGAAACUGGGUCUAAUACCGGAUAGGACCACAUUUUGGUUGGUGUGGUGGAAAGUUUUUCGGUGUGGGAUGAGCUCGCGGCCUAUCAGCUUGUUGGUGGGGUAAUGGCCUACCAAGGCGUCGACGGGUAGCCGGCCUGAGAGGGUGUACGGCCACAUUGGGACUGAGAUACGGCCCGGCCUACUACGGGAGGCAGGGGUGGGGAGUGUUGCACAAUGGGCGCAAGCCUGGUGCAGCGACGCCGCGUGGGGGAUGACGGCCUUCGGGUUGUAAACUACUUUCGCUAGGGACGAAGCGCAAGUGACGGUACCUGGAGAAGAAGCACCGGCUAACUACGUG